This 3013-nucleotide long non-coding RNA is filed under the name Anser cygnoides (Swan goose). RNAcentral's name for it is "lncRNA (ENSACDG00005004148.1)". Lineage: Eukaryota; Metazoa; Chordata; Aves; Anseriformes; Anatidae. The record is from RNAcentral.
AUGCAUUUUUCUUUUCUUAGGAAACUACACAGAAGCCCCAUGCAAGUGGUGCCUAUUGUUUUCAUGAUCGGAGACUUCUUUCUUCCUGUGAUGAAUUUACUAAGAUGCUUUGGAAUUACUCGACUUUCUUUGGGCUACAGCAGAAAACAACGUUAAGUGAAGCACAAGAUUCUCAAGCGUUGAGUGAAAUCUAAGCGAUUAUCACUGGAGGAGAGAGGGAGGACAAAUGGAGCUGAAUCUGGAGUAAAACCAAGGGAAAUUCUCACAUUAAAGAUUCACCAAUGAAUCUGCAGACUUUAUGCAAAUCCAGUGGGUAUUUUGUGGAAGUAUUAAUGAGUGUCACAUCCUGAUUACUGCAGAUUUUCCCUUACGUUUCCAGCUGUAGCAAAUCCAACUGAAACUGCUAAAAUCAACAACAGAAGUCCACAACAGUUUGUCAGAAAAAUGUAUGAAAAUUAUUUUUAACGUGUUUUACCCUAAUUAUUCUUGGAAACGUAUCUAGGUGUUAAUUUCAGAUAUCCUAUAUGUGUUCCCUGAUGGAUGACAGAUUUUAUGUUGGUUCCCUUAAAUCUGACAGCAUUUACAUUGGUCCCCUUAAAUCCCUCUAAAGGACCAUCUCCAGGACUGAGGUGUUUUUUGCAUCUCAGUGCAGGGGAAGCCUUGUAAGCUAACUGCCCUGGCACUGCGUCUCCUAUUAGAAAUCUGCUUCUUUACCAACAGCUACUGUGAGCAACCCUUUUUGCCAUGGCAUGUACUGGUCCUUUUGCUUUGCGUGAGCUGCAGCCUGUGACAUAUAAAUUGACUCCAGACACAUCGAUUUAUUUGCUCUCAAAAACUGCAAAGAAUACAAAGUAAAAAAUAAUUCCUGAAAAGCCCUAAAAAACCAGUUAAUUAGUAUGUUCCUGUUUACCGAAGAAUUCUGUUCAAGGUUUUAUAUAUUAAAACAGAGCUAACUUGCCUGUCUCCCUGUGACCUUUUUGUUGUGUGGGCAGCCUGCUCUAGCCUGUCUCCCAGCCCUUAUGGGUUUUGAAUUUGUGAGGUGAUUUCAUGUUCCCUUUGCUCUCUUUUCACUUGGUCUUGCAAAGGCAUUCCGUCUUUAGAACUGGGCUAGGAAAGCCAUUGAAGGUAUCGUCAGUGUACAAAUAUGGGGGGAGAAAUGUUUUCAUGGCUCUGAUAUGAAGACAUCUAAAUAUGAUAGCAGACUGGGAGUUUCAUAUCUUUUGUUUAGCCUGUCUUUAUCUGCCAGCUUACUGUAUGCUGUGAAUAUAAUUCUGAAUGCCUGCAUAUAUGACAAGUCAUAACCAUAAUGAGCCUGUUUAUUUCAAGAUAUGUAGUGGCAUCAUUCAUUUGCACAUUAAAGGAAACUUUGCUGGAAGAAGACAAAUUUGAGCCUACAAAAGCUUUGUGAUGAUUGUAAUGCUAAUCUGUAUUCAAUCCUGUAUGUGAAGUGUCACAUCUUGAAUACUUUAAAAAAUUAAUUAGUCAACUGUGUUGUGGCACAGAUGAGCAGAAGCAAGUGGUUGCUUGCAUCCCCACGCUGUGACAGUCCGAGUGCCAGCAGGGCUGGAAAGCAGAGCAGACCCACGGUAAUGGGCUGGAGGUGCCACCCUCGUACCUGACUGCACCCACCAGGCUGUGGCAUUGGUGUGAUGGUGUUACGUUAAAUGAGGGCAGUUUAAAGUCUGGCGAGGAGCAAUCCUCACAUUCCUUUACAGCUGGUAUUUGUAAAGGUAUCCAACUCUGCAUAUGUAUUUUAGUAAGAAGUGGGUAUAUGCACGCAUAUAAUGUUUGUGACAAAAAUAUCACUGGGAUAUUUUGCAAUCUGGAGAGCAACUGUAAAUGUAAGUAGGUUGAGUAAAAAUAAGUACAACUGUUUAUUUUGCCAUUAGCUAAGAAUGAGAUAUGCAUUUACACACUUUCUUAACAGAAUUGUAUCACCAUAUGCCCCACAGAUUUGCAGAGGAGAAAGUUAUUUUUUUUGCCCUCUUUCUUUUGCCAGAAAUUUCCUAGAAAACUCUAAGUAACUUAAGUUUUUUUCUUUUUUUUUUUCUCCUCGUCCCCUCAGGUAACGGCCUGUAAGUACAGGCAACACAGCCUCAUACCUGGCUCAUGUAGGCCCAUGCUCACCAUAGUUUUGUGCGAAAGUCAAUGCAGUGCUAAAGGUCUGAAUUCAGGUUCCUCUGCCUGCGUGUUAUUCCAGGUACAACAGGCAGAGGCCUUGACCGCCCUGCGGUGACUCCCAGAUGUGGGUCUGGAAAAUGUCAAUAUUUGAUGGGGUGAGCGGCAUUCAGAGAUCCUCUUCUGUGGGGCGAGGUGUAGUUUGUCAUUAAGAGAGUGUUUCUUGCACCAAGUUAUCUACAGUGGCAAGCAAUUGCACUUCCAGGGUUUUCAGAUGUUUUCCUUUGUGUGUUUGCACUUCCUCUUGCACUCUUUUUGAUGAGCACGAUCCCGUCUGUAUUUCCUGGGCCUGUGGCCCUUUAGAGAAAUCAACCUUGUUGCGGUUUUACUGAGGAAAUGAUUUGCAGUAUCAUUUAACACUUCGUGAAGUAAAAAAACCAAACAACAGCAAAAAAUAGAACUAGAAGACAUUUUGAAUUCCCAAUGCAGAAAAAUGUUGUGUUUUCUGAAUGUCACUGAACAAAGAAUUGUAAUUUGCUUGUGAACAACAUCUAAGUGGAUCCAGAUUCCUUUUGAAGGGAAUGUAUAGUGAAGUGUUGAAAGUCAGCCUUUUACUAGUAAUCCUGGUUCAUGAUGAAAUAUUAUUUGCCUUUGUAAUGUAAUUUUUUAUGAAUAGUUAAGCAUUUCAACAAAGUUGUGAAUAUGUAAAAAUAUAGUUUCACAAAAAAAAAAGUUGUGAAUAUGUAAAAUAACGCACAUAAGGCGUUAUUUUGCCUCAAGACUUUUCUGAGACCAUUUCUUCUUCAUAUUUGUAGAUAUAUUAUUAUGUGUUACAUUAAACAUUGUGACAAUCUGAAGAAAUAAAAAUAAAAAAAUAGUGAUAGUUUUAAAAUGA